AUACGUAGGGUGCGAGCGUUAAUCGGAAUUACUGGGCGUAAAGCGUGCGCAGGCGGCUUUGCAAGACAGAGGUGAAAUCCCCGGGCUCAACCUGGGAACUGCCUUUGUGACUGCAAGGCUAGAGUACGGCAGAGGGGGAUGGAAUUCCGCGUAUAGCAGUGAAAUGCGUAGAUAUGCGGAGGAACACCAAUGGCGAAGGCAAUCCCCUGGGCCUGUACUGACGCUCAUGCACGAAAGCGUGGGGAGCAAACAGGAUUAGAAACCCCAGUAGUCC
This 274-nucleotide ribosomal RNA is filed under the name uncultured bacterium. RNAcentral describes it as "partial 16S ribosomal RNA". It matches the Rfam family "Bacterial small subunit ribosomal RNA", at positions 523 to 796 of the family's 1533-position model. The record is from RNAcentral.